AUCUCCAUCCAACCGCAGACGCCCUCCAAACCCCUCAUCUAACACAGCCUGAAUCCUGAUGCGAUGGCCUUAGCCACCGCCGCCGCCCCGCCGGCGAUAGCAGCGGCCACCUCUACGUCUCUCCCGUCUCUCCUCCAACACCACUCACCCGGCAGCCGCCGAACGGUCACAGCCCUGGCCUUCGCGCGGCGCUUCCGCAGCAAAAACCCUAGCCCCUUCCGCUCCGGCAGCAAGGCCGCCGCCCCGACCCCGGCCCUCGCCCCCGCCCCCGAAGACGACUUCGGCGGCCUCGAGGGAGAGCUCUGGCGCCUCCGCCGCCGCGCGGAGCUGCGCUUCCAGCGCCUCGCCGCGGAGGCCGACGAAGCCUACAGCGACCUCCGCUCCUGCGUCCGCGUCGUCGGUGGGGACCGCUUGGUCCUGACCUUCCGCCGCUCGUCGCUGCGCUUCGCCGCAUUCGCCCUUCUCUGGUCCCUCGCUCUCUCCGCCGCGGCCUGGGCGUCGCUGGGGCUGGCCUUGCGGGCCUGGCGCCAGCUAUGGGGGCGGGGCUGGUGGGAACGACCGGAAGGCGGAGCUGUGGUGACGAAGCGGGACCGGAGCAUGGGUGGGAAGGAGGUGGUGGUGGCUGUAUCGUCUCCUGUGCUACCUCCGGUCAGCCACGUCAAGGAGCCCGCAAGGAAGGUCAGGAAGAAGGAACCACAGGGAAGGCUCCCGGAGUGGUGGCCGGAGAUAGAAACCGAGUUGGUGGAACUGGGGCAAGAAGCGGACAAGUGGGCGAUAUUGGCCAAUAGAUUGGUCCGAGCAAUCGUUGACAAUAGGGUUGCGGGGAGGGAUUACAGAUACGAUGAUGCAGUUCAACUAAGGCAGUUAUGCAAGAUAUCAGGAGUAAAGGUCUCAUUUGACACAGAAAAUGCACGCGAUUCUUUCUAUAGGGCAACAACAGGCUUUGUUCUGGACGAUUGCAGCAGCAGAAGACAUGGGGACAGCACAAAUCAAUGGAGAGAAUCCAAGAGAUUUUCUUGCUGGUCUUUCUAUGAAUAUUGGGUUGGACAAGUUCCGUGCUGCCACACUUGUUUGUGCAUCAGUUGCUGCUCGCACUCGUGCGUGUCUCUUGCAAUGCUGGGCUCUAGAGAUUCAGGGAAAACGAGCGGAGGCAUUGGAUGAGCUUGUAAAAAUCUGUAGAAUUCAUCGUGUAUUCCCUCCAGAAGAAAAUUCUGCAGAAAUGGAAAUGGUCGCUGGUGGACUUAAAAAGAAUUUGGAAGUUGCAGAGAGGGUUCACCUUCUCUCUCUAUACAGGAGCGCAUGUACUACCGGUGUCAAAACCGUUGCAGAAGCUCUUGGCCUGAGCUCACCGGAUCAAUGAGAACACGUGCCGUAGAAGGGUCCAUUAUUUUUGUAGUUCCAGCUCGGCGUUGUCAUGCCUCAGUAACGGCUGAAAUAUUCACAAUCGAAGCCAUUGGCAUCCUCGGUUUUAUGAAGUUGCAGAAUGUGUGCGAUAUUUAAUUCGAGGAAUUAACAUGGGGCAUAAUACGUCAUAAAUUUUCCUAGCAGCACAAAAGGUCUAAAGCAUUCCAAACAAGGUGGUAUAAGGCAGUACAUAUGAACACAAUACCUUGUGCAUAGUUAGGCCAACGCAUCCAAAACAGGUUCUCUUGUAAGACAUACACAUAGUUUUGCUGGUGUCGUUGAACAAUGGCAGCAGUGGCUCAUCGAUGUAGCCGUGUAGGAUGCAGUUAUAGAGCAGGACAGCUUAGUGGAGGUAGACAGUUCAGGAUAGUGGUAUGCAUUUGCAUGGUCCGAAAAACCUUAUUGCCAUCAUUUGUGUCUGAAGGCUUGGUUUGGAUGGCCUACUCGUUGCAAUUCUGAGAAGAGUCGGCUAUGGUUUGGAUGGCCAAGUACUCCUACUGUUUAUGGGUCUGAUCGUCUGAGCAUGGAUGGAGCAAGAGAACUAUUGAAACGAUGUGAGAGUUGUAGUGGUGGUAGACAAUGCCGCAAGUGGUCACGUAGUUGUGCUCUCUAAUUUUUCUUUUCUUAUUAUUACCAUGUUUUUAUGAUUGAAGUGGAAGGACAAAAUCUUAUUGCUA
Molecule: RNA transcript, 2081 nt
Organism: Aegilops tauschii subsp. strangulata
Lineage: Eukaryota; Viridiplantae; Streptophyta; Magnoliopsida; Poales; Poaceae
Source: RefSeq, a predicted model, not a curated record